Molecule: ribosomal RNA, 449 nt
Filed under: uncultured bacterium
Lineage: Bacteria
Description: partial 16S ribosomal RNA
Rfam family: Bacterial small subunit ribosomal RNA
Source: RNAcentral
AACGAACGCUGGCGGCAUGCCUAACACAUGCAAGUCGAACGAGAUCUUCGGGUCUAGUGGCGCACGGGUGCGUAACGCGUGGGAAUCUGCCCUUUGGUUCGGAAUAACAGUUGGAAACGACUGCUAAUACCGGAUGAUGACGAAAGUCCAAAGAUUUAUCGCCAGAGGAUGAGCCCGCGUAGGAUCAGCUAGUUGGUGUGGUAAAGGCGCACCAAGGCGACGAUCCUUAGCUGGUCUGAGAGGAUGAUCAGCCACACUGGGACUGAGACACGGCCCAGACUCCUACGGGAGGCAGCAGUGGGGAAUAUUGGACAAUGGGCGAAAGCCUGAUCCAGCAAUGCCGCGUGAGUGAUGAAGGCCUUAGGGUUGUAAAGCUCUUUUACCCGGGAUGAUAAUGACAGUACCGAGAGAAUAAGCUCCGGCUAACUCCGUGCCAGCCGCCGCGGUAA